RNAcentral lists this long non-coding RNA (1249 nucleotides) under Anser cygnoides (Swan goose). Its description in RNAcentral is "lncRNA (ENSACDG00005015892.1)". Lineage: Eukaryota; Metazoa; Chordata; Aves; Anseriformes; Anatidae. The record is from RNAcentral.
GCUUCCUCUCCAUACAGAUGGUUCACAAAUGCUGCAGCAGGAUUAGGAAGGGGUAGGACCUGACCUGUUAGUUAGUCUGGGCUGAUGAGUAGGGUGGAGUGUCAUCUACUCCUGCAAUAAAGCAGCAGUAGGUUUAGGAAACUUCAGUGACAUAUGGAAACCAAGAUUUUCUGUUGGGAGUAGUUUGGCUUAGAUAAAUCCCACUUCAAGAAAUGUUUUGGGGGAGAGAAAAUUGAUGAGACAUUCAGUUUUGAGACUUAAAACUGGCUUUCUAUGUCAGUGUUUUUGUUUAAAAAUGUAACCUAAUUGCAGGAUGAUGGGGGGGUGGGGGAGGAGGAAAUAUGGCUGAAGUUAAAAGGGUGGUGAACAAUACAUAUGUUUCUACUUACCUGGAAAAUAUAUAUUUUCAGCUUUUUUAUUAUUAUUAUUUUUACUCUGAAAUUCUGCCUUUCCUCUUUGAAUAAAGAGGAUAAAAACAUACACAAUUCUAAUUUUAUUAGAUGGGAUUUAUUUUUUUAAAUAUAUAUAUAUAUUUAUAUGUCUGGUUGGCUAUCCUUUAUUAUGUCUUCUAAUGAAUUGUGUGAGGAUGUGAUUUAGCAUUAUAUCUCCCUGAUAAAACAGCUUUUGGAGUAUUGCAACUGAAGCAUAAAUCCUGAACAAGAAGCAGUGCUUUCAGAUGUGGUCCAAAGCAAGUCUUCCUCCAAGAAGAUGCUCUUCCUGUGCAUUUGCUUAUGAAAUAAAAAAAUGUAUAAUUAUGGUAAACAAAAUAAGCGUAAUUAGAGCCCCACAGCCUAAGUUAGCGAGAACGCAGGUGUGCUCCAGAAACAAAAAGGCACUCCAGUUUGAAGGGAGCAAGGGAUUUCUUUUCCUUCUUGGCUAACAGUCCUUCACCUGGCUUGAAGAGAAAGCAGAUGGCUCUCUGCUGGCUGUGGAAAGAAAAUCACCUGAGAGGGGAAAGGAAGAAGCAGCUUGAGAAACUGCAACCCGCAAAAGAAUUCAGAUGAAAAUGAGUAUGUGUGCUGAGAGGUUUAGCUAAACACUAUAAAAAUUGACUUGUACAUGAUAAAACUCUCCAAUAUGAAGAGAUCCAUGGACUGUCUAGACCGACUUUUUUUUUUUUUUUUCCCUUCUUAAAAGCAAACAGAACCACACAUAACUAAAUAAGUGCAAAAUUCACACAUGGAUGAUGCCAGAACGUAACAGCAUUGCAUGGAAUAAAUACUUCAGUAAGCUUGGUUCUGGUUUUCCU